RNAcentral lists this ribosomal RNA (330 nucleotides) under uncultured eukaryote. RNAcentral describes it as "partial 18S ribosomal RNA". It matches the Rfam family "Eukaryotic small subunit ribosomal RNA", at positions 1470 to 1796 of the family's 1831-position model. The record is from RNAcentral.
CCCUUAGAUGUUCGGGGCCGCACGCGCGCUACACUGACGGUUUCAAUGAGUACCAUCCUGUUCUGAAAAGAUCGGGAAAUCUUACGAAUGAUCGUCAUGUCAGGGAUUGGGGCUUGCAAUUAUUCCCCAUGAACGAGGAAUUCCCAGUAAGUGCAAGUCAUAAGCUUGCGCUGACUACGUCCCUGCCCUUUGUACACACCGCCCGUCGCUACUACCGAUUGAAUGAUUUAGUGAGGACUUCGGACUGGGACCGAUGCGGCUUUCGGGCUGCGUCGGUAUUCUGGAAAGAUGUCCAAACUGUAUCAUUUAGAGGAAGUAAAAGUCGUAACA